Molecule: non-coding RNA, 367 nt
Organism: Nerophis lumbriciformis (worm pipefish)
Lineage: Eukaryota; Metazoa; Chordata; Actinopteri; Syngnathiformes; Syngnathidae
Source: RefSeq, a predicted model, not a curated record
CAGCUGCUAAUAUUAGCAUGGAGAUACUUUGAUCUCGGAAAUACCAUCACUAUCUGGAGGCAGUUCUCCAGAGGCUGAACAGGUGGAUGGGCCUGCAAGUACUGACAGUCUACAGAACCAGAACAGACACUACAAAGUUCUACAGGAGCUAUACAAAUCUAGGCCCAGACCUAACAAGAAGGAUGUUGCCCAGCUGUUGGACCUCAAAUACCAAGCAAGACGGGCUUACAUUGACUCUGAUGUUUUGAAGGAGAAGGACAAACCUACCAAGAUUCUUCAAAAAAGUGGAUCAUACAAUGGAUGAACUAUAGCGGAUGCGCAGUCAAGGAAAUUCCCACUUCAUACCUGAACUGAAGAACCGCUGGAG